Molecule: non-coding RNA, 179 nt
Organism: Xyrichtys novacula (pearly razorfish)
Lineage: Eukaryota; Metazoa; Chordata; Actinopteri; Labriformes; Labridae
Source: the annotation of a GenBank genome assembly
CCAGGUUAUAACCAGGUAAUUUCUCAGGAUAUAACCAGGUUAUAACCAGGUAAUGUCUCUGGUUAUAAAAAGGUAAUAUCCUGGUUAUAACCUGGUUAUUACCAAGUAAUAUCUCAGGUUAUAACCAGGUAAGGUCUCAGGAUAUAACCAGGUGAUAACCAGGUUAUAACCAGGUUAUG